CCUCUGCCUACAAGCACCAACCUCCCAAGCUCACGGGUCAUUUUAUUUGACAAUGUCACAUCGAUUCACAUUUCACAAUGCACUCUUAACUUUAGAAUCUUAAUGUACUGGUUGAAAUUAGCUGCAUCUAUGGAGAAGAGUCUGCUCUUAACUAUGUCCUCCUUUGGAGAGAUUUCCUUGUUGACUGGAGGCAUCAGCAAGAUGUCAUGCUAUUCUGUUUCAGGGACUUCCUGUAGAAGCGCUCCUGAAGGCUGUACCUCGGUGCCACAAGCUCUACCUCCUGCUUCCUCUGUGCUACCUCUUCUCCCAGACCCACCACACCCGAAGAAAUGCAGCCCUGAACUACAUGCAGCAGCGAGGACCGUGCCCUGCCUGAUUCAGCGUACACAGCCUCAAUAAGCUGGUGCCCUGAGCCCAAAAGAGCUGACCCAAAGCUAAGGCCUGGGCAGAGUACUGGUACCUGAGGGGGAGCAGUAAGGGUGAUUCCAAAAAACUAGGCCUUUGCUGCCAGGAACACAUACUGGAAGACUCAGCCUGUCGCCUUCCGGACUCUCAAGUGCCCUGAAAUUUAACCUUGGCGAUGAGGAACCCAUGGCCCAAGACUGCUGAAACCCUGGGCCAAGUUCUCAUAAAGUGACUCAGUCACCCCUUGCAAUGAGAAAGUGCACUUCAGCACAAUUAAGAGUCAUUUCAUGUCACGGAGAUACACAAACAGCUGGAAACAUGAAUGUUAACUCUACCACUGCCAAAUUUCCACUUGAAGCCACACACUGGAAUUUCCCCUUUGCUAACCUGGAUCUCUCUGUGCCUCCAAGUACUGCACACCCAGGGAGACAGUCAAGCUGUUUGGAGGGCAGAAACUGAGCUCAUGUCCAGUAUUCUUCAAGGUUCCCAGCAGUACAAGUAGGAGAAAAGCUAAUUCCUUGGUUCUGGGGAAAGUGAAGUGGGUGCACUGGUCCUGUCUCCCCCCUUGAGAAACAUUUAAAACAGAGGCACAGACUCAAGGAGAGUGCCUAAACAUAA
This is a long non-coding RNA of Cavia porcellus (domestic guinea pig), 1023 nucleotides long. RefSeq lists it as uncharacterized. The record is from RefSeq and is a predicted model, not a curated record. The transcript is spliced from 3 exons. NCBI's taxonomy places the organism in Eukaryota, Metazoa, Chordata, Mammalia, Rodentia, Caviidae.